UACAGAGGGGGCAAGCGUUGUUCGGAAUCACUGGGCUUAAAGGGCGCGUAGGCGGCUUGCCAAGUCAGGGGUGAAAUCCAGCAGCUUAACUGUUGAAGUGCCUUUGAUACUGGCGAGCUCGAGGGAGGUAGGGGUCUGUGGAACUUCUGGUGGAGCGGUGAAAUGCGUUGAUAUCAGAAGGAACGCCGGUGGCGAAAGCGACGGACUGGACCUCUUCUGACGCUGAGGCGCGAAAGCUAGGGGAGCAAACAGG
RNAcentral lists this ribosomal RNA (253 nucleotides) under uncultured bacterium. RNAcentral describes it as "partial 16S ribosomal RNA". It matches the Rfam family "Bacterial small subunit ribosomal RNA", at positions 524 to 776 of the family's 1533-position model. The record is from RNAcentral.